GGGUCAGUAGGUUGGUCGUGCCCGGUACGUACUGGUCUCACUGAUUCCUCCUUCCUGAAGAACCGUAAUGCCAUUAAUUUGGUGUUGCGGGGAAACAGGACUGUUACUUUGAAAAAAUUAGAGUGUUUAAAGCAAGCUAACGCUUGAAUACAUUAGCAUGGAAUAAUGAAAUAGGACGAUCGAUCCUAUUUUGUUGGUUUCUAGGAUUGACGUA
RNAcentral lists this ribosomal RNA (214 nucleotides) under Glomeromycotina sp. RNAcentral's name for it is "partial small subunit ribosomal RNA". The stretch from base 38 to 214 matches the Rfam family "Eukaryotic small subunit ribosomal RNA", at positions 686 to 864 of the family's 1831-position model. The record is from RNAcentral. Lineage: Eukaryota; Fungi; Glomeromycota.